Lontra canadensis (Northern American river otter) is the source of this 1493-nucleotide long non-coding RNA. RefSeq lists it as uncharacterized. NCBI's taxonomy places the organism in Eukaryota, Metazoa, Chordata, Mammalia, Carnivora, Mustelidae. The record is from RefSeq and is a predicted model, not a curated record. The transcript is spliced from 3 exons.
CCGUGAGUUGGACCAGUCAUUCUGGAGAUCCAGGAUGACAUUGGGUGGGAGGUCAAGAAGAUCCUACAGCACUUCCUCCCCUUUGUCUGGGCUGGCUUGGGCUAAGGUCAUGGCUUUCCCUCAGCUCCAGGCUAUGUUGGAGUCUGCCAUGGCAUUGAACUGACUCUCCUGCUUGAAGAAGCCGAAUGGCAUCUGCCAUGGCCUUGAACUGGGACACACGAUCCAGGAGGCUCAGCAGGUGAAAGACGAAGGGACCUUGAAAGCAGUAUGGCUUGCUGCUCUUCCAGACUCAGAGGCAGCUCCGGUCCUGCUGCCAGGAGGACAGGUGACUGGGUUUUUCCAUUGUGGUGAUGAAUUGGGCUGAGUCACCAUUCCUCUCCAGUCCCCUCGUGACCAUGACUGGAGCAAGUAAAAAGCAAAGUAAAAGAACUAGCAGGUGGGGUCGGAGGCGCAGAAGAGCCUGGGGCCACGGAAGCUUGCUCUCUUGGCAGGGAGGGUGAGGCAGGAACCACCCCCCACCCCCCACUCACACUCUCCACUCACUGUGAGCCACAGGGCCUCAGGGGGAGAAGAGCGGAUCCUUUCUCUUCUUUUAUGGGGUUGGUUGAGUGCCUCUUUGGUGCCAAGACCUGUGCUGUGGAGUGCACUGGCGAUCCAGAGCGGACCAGGUUUAUGCACUGAGGGAGGAAACCAGCUCAGAGUCCCAUAAUCUAGGUACUAGGCCAACUCUGCUAAAAUGCGUGAUUGAGGUUAGCAUGCAGUAUGGUGGGGGCCUGCAGGAGUCAGCGAGAGCUUCCUGGAGGAAGAGGCAUCUGAGAGGUGGAAAGUCAGCGGAUGGAGAUGGGAAAAGGGAUGAUGGGGGAGACACCAUCCAGCCUUCAUCCAUUAGGUCAGCCAGGCCUUCCACAAAGCUCAGGAAGGUUCAGAGCUAAACCCUGCCAGGAGUUCCUGAAAGGAGGUAGAGAAUGCAGGGUGUGUGUGAGCAGAAGGUGAAGAAUCAGGAAGUGGGUGAGAGUGAGUAUCAGGCCUCAGCCUGGAUCUGGAAUUUCAGCGGGCGCCAGAUGACCUGCUCCCUGCUCCUGGGCCACCCUGGACCACGCACUGGCAAUGUUGCUGCCCCCUUUCUUCCCUGCAUGCAAAGACCCUCUCCUGCAGGACCAGCCCUUGCUCUCCAGGUAACUCUGGACACCCUACCAUCUCCUCCCCCACCCCAGAGGGCAGCAGGACCCCUCCCCACCACCCCCCAUCGGAAGUCUCACCAGACACACAGAGCCUGAGUUUGUGCUACAUCAGGUCAAAGGGUGGAUCUGGCAAUAUUUUUUAAAAAUUCUAAUAGUCCUAAUAGAAUUUAAGAAUUCUAAUAAAAAAUUCUAAUAGAAAACUUAUAAGAUGCAGAAGGAAAAUUAAAAUCUCAUAAUGCCAUUGUCUAAAGAUAACUAGUGUUAAUAUGUUAAUAUCUUGGGGGUUUAUAUCCUUCAGCAGUUUCUGUGUGU